UGCGCCUGGCGCAUCUAUCAGCCGGAGUAAGAUGUGAUAGUCCACUGGUAAACGGUGGGCCCGGCCGCAAGGUUGGGAUAUGUGUACCGGGCGGAAGCCGGAGCAUGCUAUUCGUCUGUUGGGCUGUCUAGUCAGUGCACUUUCUCUGUGGUGAACACCACGACCGGUGGAAUUGCCAGUCUGCUGUAGUCAAGUCGUAUUCAGUCGGUUCUUGUAGUCAACUGGGUGCGAUCACAGGCAAACUCAGUAAACGGCGUAGGGGUGUCUCGGCAUCCUUACGUGUUAUCGGCUGCUGGUUGUCAACGGGCCUGCUUGAUGAUUGUUGUAACCGUCAUUAGGUGGUCUGGUGGGCUAUGGUGGUAAGAAUAACUGUGCAAGGCAUCGGAGUUCUCGGCCUCAAAUGCAUCCUGCAUACACGUUACAAGUGGAGUGGGGUGCCAUUGCAGCCUGCCUGUUGUUGGGUCUGAUUGUCGUGUCGCCUGCGCAAAGUGGGCCCGGCAGUGGCCUGAUGCGGGAUGGGUUGUGGAUGGUGCCUCCUGUGUAGGGUGUGGUGGGUCAAA
This 560-nucleotide ribosomal RNA is filed under the name Phyllobothriid sp. 1 PDO-2006. Its description in RNAcentral is "partial 28S ribosomal RNA". The record is from RNAcentral. Lineage: Eukaryota; Metazoa; Platyhelminthes; Cestoda; Phyllobothriidea; Phyllobothriidae.